UAUUGUAAAAUUCAAGAUUCCAAACAGGGAGUUCAGGAACAAAGUUCUAAAAAUUUUAAUUUUAAAGAAAGUUUGCUAGACACUUUCAGAAACCAGCUGAAGGCAAAGAGCUUCUCAAACAUAAAUACUAUAUCCUCAGAACGAAAUAUAAAGACUAUGUUCACAAAAUAAAUAAUAUGUCAUGAAGCAGGAACAAUUCAAGAUGUUGGACAAAUGUGCACUUUCAAUGAAGGGGAGAAAAGGGAUGGCUUGCUCAAUCUAGUCUCAUGCCAGAAUCAAAUGCAUUCACAGUCGUCCCUCCAUCAACAGAAAUAACCUGUCCAGUAAUGUAUGAAGCAGCAGGUAGGCAAAGGAAUGCAACAAGGGAUGACACUUCUUUCGGUUCUCCGACACGUUGAAGUGGAGUUCGAGAGAUUAUUUUAUCCAAGAACUCUUUGUUACCAAGCAACUGUAAGGACACAUGGUCAGAAGAGAAGCUGUUAUAUGUACCAUUGAUGAAUUUUAUACCAAUUUCUUCUCAGUUCCAAAAUGCAGUGUUUGAGAGACUACAACUCUCCAAGUCUAAUAAUCCACUCUUAUAUACACACAGAAUUUUUGUUGAAGGAAGUGCCCGGUUUGAAGCUCACUAGUUAAUCGGAAUAAUAUUAUAGUCAAGAUUAAUGGAUUUAUGGAGAUCUUGGAAACAAAAACUUUCAAGGAUACAUGUCAAUAAACAGAGGACAGCAGUAUAAUCGCAAUUUAUUGAACUGUUUUAGGGUCAUGGCCAAAGAAAGCUUUCAGAACAAUAAGCAAUAUCAUAAUCAUGCUUAUAAUGCAUGUAAAUACACAUCUUUUAUAGUUUAAUACACCUCAUGUAAAAAUGACCCUCGAGAUGCAACCAGAAAUCCACUUGAUGCUUAUAGGUUUUCUAUGUAUAAACAGUUCUAAGAGCAAAUCCCAACUAGGAUGAAUAACUGAUUCAACUAACUGUAGAAUUAAGGUUUGGCCACUUUAAAGAAAUAAUACCUUUACUCUUAAAUGAGAAUGGCAAUUUGCUAAUAUUUUGAAAGGGAUGAUUAUUUGCCAGACAUAAAAGAAUGUUCUAUGAGCAGGAUAGAGAAUAGUACAUUUUCCACAAGCGAGGUUCUGAUAUACCAGGGUGCAACACAAUUUGUCCUGAUAUUGUCUUUUGCCCACUCACAAGCCAAGUUUUUCGUUAGUUGAUUAAUUGCACCUUUAGUUGAACCAUAAAUCGAUCCACUACCUAUGUGCGCAAGACCUGCAACAGAUGAAAUGAAUACAAUGCUUCCUGCUCCUGAUGCUUUUAGAAGAGGAUGUGCAAGUUGGCACAGAUGGUAUGCAGAUUCAAAGUUAGUUGUCACGAGUUUUGAAAAUUCUUCAGCAGAGUACUCAAUACUUGGCUUCCUGAUAUUUGUGCCAACAUUGUUU
Molecule: unclassified non-coding RNA, 1428 nt
Filed under: Hevea brasiliensis (rubber tree)
Lineage: Eukaryota; Viridiplantae; Streptophyta; Magnoliopsida; Malpighiales; Euphorbiaceae
Source: RNAcentral